Molecule: microRNA, 17 nt
Filed under: Homo sapiens (human)
Lineage: Eukaryota; Metazoa; Chordata; Mammalia; Primates; Hominidae
Description: hsa-miR-4294
Source: miRBase by way of RNAcentral
GGGAGUCUACAGCAGGG